Molecule: ribosomal RNA, 360 nt
Filed under: Triticum aestivum (bread wheat)
Lineage: Eukaryota; Viridiplantae; Streptophyta; Magnoliopsida; Poales; Poaceae
Description: partial small subunit ribosomal RNA
Source: RNAcentral
AUGGACUUAGAGGAUUUUACCGCUGCUUGCAAACUUCCACAAUGGGGUAGUAUCAGGAAACCUUGCAAAUCUGAAUUUAGAGAUUUUCUUGCUAGUAUAACUGUGGGCGAAUCUAGAGAUAUAACACAAGCUACCAUAGGGAGCAUUCACUUUCCUGCUAUACAUUAUUUUGCUCUCUUCAUAGGUAGACGCAUUAAUGGUAAAGAUGAGGCAUGUCACAUGUGUGUCCGUGACCUCAGUAUUCUUAGGAGUGUUGUGUUAGGAGAUAAAUCUUAUAAUUUUGGAGCCAUUGUUGCACGUAGGUUGCAUCUUAAUAGAUUUAAUGGAGAUUCUUUGGUGGAAUUUAUGCAACCCACUUAG